CCAAAUUCUCCCAUGCCUUCCCAUCAUAGCCUUUCUGAUGUGCCUCAGACAAGGAAUGACCUGGGGAGAGACAGAGGAUAGGAACACUUAACACCUUCCUUCAUUGUGGCUAGCCAGAGUCUGUCGACUUCUCUGAGGUUACAGAAAGUGCUUGGGGAAGAUGACUCAAUACUGUUGAGUGUAAAUCAGAACACAAAUGUUCCUCUGCUGUGCAGUGCCUUGUAAAGAAAAGAGGACACAGAGAAGACGGGAGGGAAACAUCGCCAAGUGUGAAUAACAGUUCUCUGGGGGGAAGGAUUUUGAUUCUUCUGCUGACUUAAUUUUUUUUUAGUCUUAUAAAUUCUCCAGAACGGCGCACAUUUUGAUGAUUUAAAAGGGAAAAGUAACUCUGGGAGGCAGAAGGAGGAUCACAAGUGGAGGCCCAGGCUGGGCAGCUUAGUGACUUAACAAGAUCCUGUAUCAACAUAACAGUUUUUUUUAAAGGGUUGGGGAUGUAGCUUAGUGUGAAGACCCUGGGUUCAAUCUCUAUUAGCAAGGCGGGGACAAAACUUGAAUGACACUGAAAUUGCAGGCAGGGGACUAUCAGGCAGGCAGGCAGGAGGAUGCAGUCAGCUCCCUGAGUCGUCCGGGAGCCCUCAUCCGGGGUGGUCCUGACAGUCAUCAGAGAGGUCUCAAGCUUUUGAUGCCCACAUGGGGAAGCACCCAGAGGUUCAAAUAUGAAAGUAGUAAAUCUAUCUCAGAAAGGGUCGGGACAGUUGAUCUCCUGAACUCACCAAUCCUGCUGCAGACUGGGAAGGCCCUGCAAGGAAUUCUGGGUCUUAACUGCUCAAGGGUGGCUCUCAAGCAGAUCACACACCUGCACCCCAGCUCCAAGUCCCUGUAACAUAUGAGGACCCCACAGGACAGGCCCUCGCCAUUCUCUUCAGGGACCCUUCCUCCCUCCUCAACCACAGACCACAUCUACACAGCAUUCUUUCUUCAGCAUUCUCCCCUUUUUAACCCUUCUUUUACAUCUCCCACUAUUCAUCUUAGCCAGAAAUAAAUAACAAUAGAUUAAAGAAAAAUGUUUACUUGGGAACAUUUUUAUAAUUCCCUUCUAGAUGCAUCUUUCCAUAUCACUUCUCUUAAAAACAAGCUCCUGGGGGUAUACAUGCUUUGUCCUUUAAUGAAAAGUUGACAUUUUUACUAAGCCCUGUGAUAACUAAAUUAUUCUUCAGACAGGUGCCACUGUCCUUCUUCCUAUGGUGAUGACGGGUUGACGCCUCCAGGCUCACUAACUUGAUCUGAGCGUCCCCUGCAGGAAACUGUGUCCAUACUCAGGGGUUCCUGGUUCAUCACCCAGGACAGGGGCUGCCAAGCCACACCAUUCCACCACCCAAGCACUCGAUUUCUCCAACUUCCUUAAAAAUUCAACACAUUAACAUUUUCUUUCUACUAUUUUGGCUAGUAUUUCUCUUGGCCUGAAGAGCUUCUCAACUAUAAUUUAGAACAAUACACAGUUAUUAGUGCUGACUUUAAAGUGCAUAUUUAGUCCUGGAAGCCUUUUCUGUCUGAUGAAAAUCUUGGGAUUUGUAUAAUUACUAUAUUUCUGUGAUUAAAAUAUCUCCGCUUUGGUGUUCAGGCAC
Molecule: non-coding RNA, 1625 nt
Organism: Heterocephalus glaber (naked mole-rat)
Lineage: Eukaryota; Metazoa; Chordata; Mammalia; Rodentia; Bathyergidae
Source: RefSeq, a predicted model, not a curated record